GACAGGUGCUGCAUGGCUGUCGUCAGCUCGUGUUGUGAAAUGUUGGGUUAAGUCUCGCAACGAGCGCAACCCCUAUCUUUAGUUGCCAGCAUUAAGUUGGGCACUCUAGAGAGACUGCCCGGGUUAACCGGGAGGAAGGUGGGGAUGACGUCAAGUCCUCAUGGCCCUUAUGCCUAGGGCUACACACGUAAUACAAUGGCGUACACAAAGGGAAGCGAUCGGGUGACCGUUAGCAAAUCUCAAAAAGUGCGUCUCAGUCCGGAUUGUAGUCUGCAACUCGACUACAUGAAGUUGGAAUCGCUAGUA
This 306-nucleotide ribosomal RNA is filed under the name uncultured Peredibacter sp. RNAcentral's name for it is "bacterial SSU rRNA". It matches the Rfam family "Bacterial small subunit ribosomal RNA", at positions 1033 to 1340 of the family's 1533-position model. The record is from RNAcentral. Lineage: Bacteria; Pseudomonadati; Bdellovibrionota; Bacteriovoracia; Bacteriovoracales; Bacteriovoracaceae.